Portunus trituberculatus (swimming crab) is the source of this 851-nucleotide long non-coding RNA. RefSeq lists it as uncharacterized. The transcript has 3 exons. NCBI's taxonomy places the organism in Eukaryota, Metazoa, Arthropoda, Malacostraca, Decapoda, Portunidae. The record is from RefSeq and is a predicted model, not a curated record.
CAAACAGACGCCUGCUGGAAGAUCAAGAAAAAGAAAAUAGAGGCUCAAACAAACCCAAACAACAACUGGAACCAGCAUGUAACAAGCCAAAACACCAUGACACUUACAUACGCUUAAUGAAACAGACAAAGAACAACAGGAACAGCCAUAAGCCAUGAGAUAAAGGAGGGACAAGCACCGUUACGAAGGCUUUGAAAAUUCCAACAGCGCAGCAGCUCUGUACUGGCAGACGGAGAGAUGUGACAUAAGUGCACAUAAACGAACACAUUUUCAACGUUCGCUGGCGUGGCUCAGCAUCUGCUUGUUCAUCACACACCUGAGUGUAUCAUUUAACAGCAUUGGCAUGGUAUUCCUCACCAAAACAGUCUGGUGGUGGGCUGCCAUGCAACAGUGGGCCCAGGGCAGCCGCCCCUCUACCCUCCUGCCUGUUCCGCUAUUACCGUGAGCUGAGUUUAAAUCCAAAGUGUUCGGUCUUUGGGAGUAAUUCAGGUGUUCUAUUCUAUACCUUGGAUGUUCUUUGGAUAUCUUGGCAAGCUUUAGCCUGAUGCCUAGAUGUCUAUUGUAGUGAGAGUGAGAGUGUGUUAAAGUUCUAAGCCAGGCCAAUGUACAUCGUGAAUAGAUUACAAAAAACUGCAGUUGUUUAGUGUGAAUUUUUGUGCAAUAUAUUAAUCCACUCUGGAUGAAGUUUCCUUCAUAACUGUUUUGUGGCGUUUUUAAUGGUAAAUCUAUCUUGGUCAAGCAUUGCAUUAAUUCAGCAACCACGGUAUUGGGAUCUGUAUGAGCAACCAUGUCCACCAUCAUGUUGACUCUCAAUAGUAAUAAUAACGUAACCAUUAAUUUGUGUUGGUAUC